Molecule: long non-coding RNA, 1077 nt
Organism: Ictidomys tridecemlineatus (thirteen-lined ground squirrel)
Lineage: Eukaryota; Metazoa; Chordata; Mammalia; Rodentia; Sciuridae
Source: RefSeq, a predicted model, not a curated record
GCCCUUUGUUCCGCAGCGGCGCGAGGGGCGCAUGGGACUCGGCCUGCGCGCGGCAGCUGCUCCGCAGCCAUGUGAUGGCGCUGGGCGCAGCAGCGGUUCACUGCAAGGUCUCUGCAGGGUUCGGGCAUGUCAGCUGAGGAACGUCAGGCAGUGCAGGGACUUGUAAUGAGGCUGGCCCCGGGCGUCGGUCCUCUCUGAGAAGGCUUUGUUUCCUCCUGCUCCUCCAAUGAGCAAUCCAGCUUCGCUGCACAUCCACCCGCGGCCUAGCGUGCGGGUGGGGCGGGCGGGGGGCGCACAAGUAUGCGGAGAAGGGAAAACAGGUCUGAGGCUUCAAGUCCAGGCAGGACGCCCGCGAGUCAUCUUACCGUCAAGUGGGCAGCACCUCGCCUCUGGUUAGUCAGAGCCACAGAAGAAAUGACUAAAUUCCUAGGAGAAGAGAAACACAGGAUGGACUUCACUUGGACUUUAUUCCAUCUGGUAGACCUGAUUCGUUUCUGUUCUCUUGUGGCUCAGAGUGCAGGUUUAAUCAGAGAUCUCCACCAGGUGCAACUAUAAGCUUUGGAAAUAACACAGAGGCACCCACAGAAGAACUCUAAAGUGCAAAGAGGAAAGAACCCGGCCUUACACCCAGGACCCAGAAGAGGAGCUGCACAGAGCAAGGUCUUAACAGGCCCAGCCAACAGGAAAUGCUUGACCCAGGAUUGAACACACUGGAUGGGUCCAGCAGCAAAGUGGAGACUACAGAAGUUAGGAUCAGUGGACCUAAUGACGACCUAUCGAAUAUACCUUAUAUAAACAAAUGAUAGAAAAAGAUAGGGAAAAAAAUAGAGAGAGGGUCUCAGGAACUAUAGAGAAAAUAGAAAAAGUUUCAACUUUCACAGUAUCAGAGUUGUAGAAAGACAUAAGAAAAUGAGUGGGUUCAAGAGGAUAUUCAAAGAAAGAAUACGAGCAAAUCUCUCCAAGUUCGGAAGAUAAAAGACAUAAGCCUCCAUUUUCCAAAAGUUAAGCAAAACCCAAAUGGGAAAAACCCAUGGAAUCCAUGCCAGUACACAUCAUAAUUAAAUGUCUGAAAACCAA